Long non-coding RNA from Telopea speciosissima, 105 nucleotides. RefSeq lists it as uncharacterized. The record is from RefSeq and is a predicted model, not a curated record. Lineage: Eukaryota; Viridiplantae; Streptophyta; Magnoliopsida; Proteales; Proteaceae. The transcript has 3 exons.
AAAAACCACCGGCACUGUGUUGGGUUCAUCUCAUAAAGCUGGUUAAGAACAGUUCUUACAGCUUUGUAUGUGAAAUAGUUGAGUAUUUGAGUUUUAACAUAUAUC